CCUACGGGUGGCAGCAGUGAGGAAUAUUGGUCAAUGGGCGAAAGCCUGAACCAGCCAAGUAGCGUGAAGGAUGACUGCCCUACGGGUUGUAAACUUCUUUUAUAAAGGAAUAAAGUUAGACACGUGUGCCUAUUUGUAUGUACUUUAUGAAUAAGGAUCGGCUAACUCCGUGCCAGCAGCCGCGGUAAUACGGAGGAUCCGAGCGUUAUCCGGAUUUAUUGGGUUUAAAGGGAGCGUAGGUGGGUUGUUAAGUCAGUUGUGAAAGUUUGCGGCUCAACCGUAAAAUUGCAAUUAAGACUGUCAGCCUUGAGUGUAGAUGCGGUAGGCGGAAUGCGUGGUGUAGCGGUGAAAUGCUUAGAUAUCACGCAGAACACCGAUUGCGAAGGCAGCUUACUAAUCU
Molecule: ribosomal RNA, 400 nt
Filed under: uncultured bacterium
Lineage: Bacteria
Description: partial 16S ribosomal RNA
Rfam family: Bacterial small subunit ribosomal RNA
Source: RNAcentral